GGUUUCUUUUUAAAGAAAAAGGAUUAAAUUAUUUUAUGAGUAAUUCCAUUAUAAUGGAAUUAAAAUGUCCUAUUAGAAUGGCUUCAUGUUUUAAUAAAUAUUGAGACUAUUUAUUUACAUGAUAAAAAAAUGUGGAAUUGUGUUAUAGAAUGAUUAAGUAUAUGAUUUACUUUAUCAAAUGAGCUUGGGAUUUAAUUGAGAUAUUAAAUUACUAAGCAUGUGUUUAUAAAUGAUUUAUUUAUUUAAGUGAUGAAAAUGUGCGAAGUAUGAGAAAGCAUGAUUUAUAAUGAUUAAAUUUUCAAGGUGAUAAUAUAUGACUUGUUCUUAAUUGAUGGAGUACUUGACUAAAUGACGGGUAUAGAGGGAGGUUAUGGAUUAUGUACAUGUUGAUGUUCGAACAAAUGGGUUCGAACCUAUAUGAUAGUUACAUGAUAAUUGGUUACAUUUUAUUGAUUGAAUGAAACGAGAUUAAUAUGGAUGCUAGAACCCUAAAACUUUAAAAGAUACCCUAGGCACGUAGAAUUAGACUUUGUCUUAUGACAAUUUCUUCACGAACUUAUCGACUCUUCAUCAAUGAAGGUCCAGGCGACAGAAAGUGAAGCCGAAGAAGAAACGACUCCACGCCAGCUUUAAGAACGAUUGAGGUUGAGCUGUGAUGGGCGAUGAAGUGUUGUUGCUGAGUGGAGUUUUUGUCGAACUUAAAGUAGGCUCAGAAAGGAUACAUGUCUUCAUACAUGUAUCUUAGUUAUGCAUUCCGCUGUAAACACUGAUUAUUUCAGUUACGCCUUCCGUUGCAAACUCUGAUAAUGUUUUAGCGAAGCCCCUAACGAUGCCUUUUUCCUUUUAAGGAAUAUAACGCGUAUACAAGUUCUUUGAGUA
This is a long non-coding RNA of Salvia miltiorrhiza (redroot sage), 879 nucleotides long. RefSeq lists it as uncharacterized. The record is from RefSeq and is a predicted model, not a curated record. NCBI's taxonomy places the organism in Eukaryota, Viridiplantae, Streptophyta, Magnoliopsida, Lamiales, Lamiaceae. The transcript has 2 exons.